This is a non-coding RNA of Pristionchus pacificus, 61 nucleotides long. The record is from Rfam. NCBI's taxonomy places the organism in Eukaryota, Metazoa, Nematoda, Chromadorea, Rhabditida, Neodiplogasteridae.
UCUUCAUUUCACACACUCUCUCACCGGUCAGAGAGGCGAGAGAGUGCAUAAAAUGAAAAGA